Molecule: long non-coding RNA, 605 nt
Organism: Daphnia pulex (common water flea)
Lineage: Eukaryota; Metazoa; Arthropoda; Branchiopoda; Diplostraca; Daphniidae
Exons: 4
Source: RefSeq, a predicted model, not a curated record
GACGUAUUAUUGAUACAACUCACUUUUUAAUAUUUAACAGGUGUUAUAUCUGUUUAUCUAAAUAGUAAACAUAUAUCUUCUUCCAGAGUAGGCGUUGAGCUGUCAGUGUUCUGUGAUAAAGAAGACAUAAUCAGAUUUUGAGACUGCGAGUUCAAUUGAGGCAGAAGUUUGAUUUCUCAGAGCAUACGGCUGACAUCAUCAGAUAGAAAGGUUGGGAGUCCCAUUGAGUGAUAAUUUGGCUUUCACAAAACAUACUGCAAUCUUUCAAAAGACAAGGACUGUUGAAGAUAUGUCUCCAUUUUUCAAGAGAAGGAAACACAAUGUUAAACCACGUCAACUUCGCAAUUUUUUUUGCACCACCUUACGAAUGCCAUUGAAGAAGAUACCAGAGAAAAAUGUGACAGCGAAUUCAAAUUAAAAAGCCCUAUCAGCUCGGGUGAUGAAUUUAUGGAAGAGAGUGGCUUCAUGGGUGACGAUGAAGAAGAUGUAUCCUCUGAUGACUCAAACAAUGAAGUGGAGUUUUUUCCCGUUCACCAGCCAGGUGAACGGGCUGAAGGGAGAAGAGGCAGAUGUGUGUUACGUUGCUUUACCAUUGCUCAUGUAAA